Molecule: microRNA precursor, 82 nt
Filed under: Chlorocebus sabaeus (green monkey)
Lineage: Eukaryota; Metazoa; Chordata; Mammalia; Primates; Cercopithecidae
Description: miRNA (ENSCSAG00000025773.1)
Source: RNAcentral
UUAGGUUGAUGCAAAAGUAAUUGCGGUUUUAGCCAUUAAAAGGAAUGGGAAAAACCAUAGUUACUUUUGCACCAACCUAAUA